CUCAGUUCGGAUUGUAGGCUGAAACUCGCCUACAUGAAGCUGGAGUUACUAGUAAUCGCAGAUCAGAAUGCUGCGGUGAAUGCGUUCCCGGGUCUUGUACACACCGCCCGUCACACCACGGAAGUUGGGGGCGCCCGAAGCCACUUAGCUAACCCUUUGGGAAGCGAGUGUCGAAGGUGAAAUCAAUAACUGGGGUGAAGUCGUAACAAGGUACC
RNAcentral lists this ribosomal RNA (215 nucleotides) under uncultured bacterium. RNAcentral's name for it is "partial 16S ribosomal RNA". It matches the Rfam family "Bacterial small subunit ribosomal RNA", at positions 1287 to 1500 of the family's 1533-position model. The record is from RNAcentral.